CCUACGGGGUGCAGCAGUGAGGAAUAUUGGUCAAUGGGCGCGAGCCUGAACCAGCCAAGUAGCGUAAAGGAUGACUGCCCUACGGGUUGUAAACUUCUUUUAUAAAGGAAUAAAGUGAGGCACGUGUGCCUUUUUGUAUGUACUUUAUGAAUAAGGAUCGGCUACAUCCGUGCCAGCAGCCGCGGUAAUACGGAGGAUCCGAGCGUUAUCCGGAUUUAUUGGGUUUAAAGGGAGCGUAGAUGGGUUGUUAAGUCAGUUGUGAAAGUUUGCGGCUCAACCGUAAAAUUGCAAUUGAUACUGGCAGUCUUGAGUACAGUUGAGGUAGGCGGAAUUCGUGGUGUAGCGGUGAAAUGCUUAGAUAUCACGAAGAACUCCGAUUGCGAAGGCAGUUCACUGAACUGCAACUGACACUGGUGCUCGAAAGUGUGGGUAUCAAACAGGAUUAGAUACCCCUGUAGUC
This 460-nucleotide ribosomal RNA is filed under the name uncultured bacterium. RNAcentral's name for it is "partial 16S ribosomal RNA". It matches the Rfam family "Bacterial small subunit ribosomal RNA", at positions 338 to 795 of the family's 1533-position model. The record is from RNAcentral.